CCUACGGGAGGCAGCAGUGGGGAAUUUUGGACAAUGGGGGCAACCCUGAUCCAGCCAUGCCGCGUGAGUGAAGAAGGCCUUCGGGUUGUAAAGCUCUUUCGGCCGGGAAGAAAUCGCUCAAAGCUAAUACCUUGGGUGGAUGACGGUACCGGAAGAAGAAGCACCGGCUAACUACGUGCC
RNAcentral lists this ribosomal RNA (180 nucleotides) under uncultured bacterium. Its description in RNAcentral is "partial 16S ribosomal RNA". It matches the Rfam family "Bacterial small subunit ribosomal RNA", at positions 338 to 509 of the family's 1533-position model. The record is from RNAcentral.